Long non-coding RNA from Lycium barbarum (goji berry), 813 nucleotides. RefSeq lists it as uncharacterized. The transcript has 2 exons. NCBI's taxonomy places the organism in Eukaryota, Viridiplantae, Streptophyta, Magnoliopsida, Solanales, Solanaceae. The record is from RefSeq and is a predicted model, not a curated record.
AGAAAUUUUUUUGACUUGCCAACUUCUCUCAGACUCUCUCUCCUCACUUUUCUUCAAACCUUCAGAAGACUCUAUCAUCUUCCCUUCAAAAAAUCUCUGACACUUUGGGCAAUGACAACUUUUUGCACUUCUCACUCUCAAUUUCAAACGGCUCUUGACUUUUCUUUUGAAAUUCUAAUUCAAAUUCCCGCUCUAAGAACCCUAGUUGCAUCUAUAAAUACCAACUGUGUUGCAGCCAUUUAGAGGGAGGAGUUUUAGCCGGUGUACACCCACUUGGCAACAAGCUUUUAGCCGCCUCUAUCUUCCUAAAACUUACUGUUUUCCUCUUCUUUUUUUAAAGCUCAGCUCUGCCUCUUACCAUAACCAAGGCAAAGGCUCUGUUUUCUUACUCCGACAAUUGACGAGCAGGUCCGAAGUCGACGCCUUAGUUCACUGCAGACGCAAGAGGUGCCUAUUGAAGAAGUUGGGGAAUCCAGUGUUCAGGUACAGCUUCCGUGAAGGGAACAAAGGCGCUCAUGUUUUGGCUAAGCUAGGCUCGAAGCUUCCAGUUUGUAAUCAACUAUGUACUAUGCUAUAUACUCCUGAAACUGCAAAAGAAACUAUCCAAGCAGACCAGCAAGGAAAAUCAACUACUAAAGUAGUAUCAUUAGCAUCAUGUUAUAUCUUAGCAAGUCUAGGGAACUACUAUGUAGUCACUAUCCAUGAUAGUGCUCAGCUGUCUACUACUACUACUACUUCGUCUGUGAUGCCGUAAUAUAUUUAAUAUAUAUCCAUUUUACCCAACCAAAAAAAAAAGUCACAUUGACGAUUUAA